Molecule: ribosomal RNA, 465 nt
Filed under: Vreelandella stevensii
Lineage: Bacteria; Pseudomonadati; Pseudomonadota; Gammaproteobacteria; Oceanospirillales; Halomonadaceae
Description: partial 16S ribosomal RNA
Rfam family: Bacterial small subunit ribosomal RNA
Source: RNAcentral
CCUACGGGGGGCAGCAGUGGGGAAUAUUGGACAAUGGGGGCAACCCUGAUCCAGCCAUGCCGCGUGUGUGAAGAAGGCCCUCGGGUUGUAAAGCACUUUCAGUGAGGAAGAACGCCUGGUGGUUAAUACCCAUCAGGAAAGACAUCACUCACAGAAGAAGUACCGGCUAACUCCGUGCCAGCAGCCGCGGUAAUACGGAGGGUGCGAGCGUUAAUCGGAAUUACUGGGCGUAAAGCGCGCGUAGGUGGCUUGAUAAGCCGGUUGUGAAAGCCCCGGGCUCAACCUGGGAACGGCAUCCGGAACUGUCAAGCUAGAGUGCAGGAGAGGAAGGUAGAAUUCCCGGUGUAGCGGUGAAAUGCGUAGAGAUCGGGAGGAAUACCAGUGGCGAAGGCGGCCUUCUGGACUGACACUGACACUGAGGUGCGAAAGCGUGGGUAGCAAACAGGAUUAGAUACCCUAGUAGUC